Molecule: long non-coding RNA, 1179 nt
Organism: Pseudopipra pipra
Lineage: Eukaryota; Metazoa; Chordata; Aves; Passeriformes; Pipridae
Exons: 2
Source: RefSeq, a predicted model, not a curated record
GGCCUCGGGAGAUUCGUUACCGAGGCCAAGCCACUACGAGGGGCCUCUGGGUCUGUCACAAUCUGUGAGGCGUCCAGUCUUUAGAAAACUGGAUUGACAGGGGACAUCGUGAGUUUAGAUCUCGGUUUUUGCUGUGACUGUUUUCUGUGCAGCUUGUGAUGUUAUUACAAGCGUCAUACUUCAGGGAUGGCAGGUACGUGCUGACACACUGGUAUAGCCAUGCUGGGAGAAAGGAGGUGAGAGGCAGGUCGUGCCAUCGAGAUCUUACACAAACAGAAAGAUGCUCUGUACUGCCACAGUCCUGGCCUGCCCCCAAACUGUGUCAGCGGGAGGGGAGGGGUUCAGUUACUCCAACCUACUGCUCCAUUUUGCCAGUGUAAAUGUCUUGUGAACUGAAGCAGUCUCCUUCAGCCACUUUACAAAACAGGGAGGUCAUGAAGCCAAAUGAGAAAGCUGCCUGUCUCCAUGUAGCCUUCCAAAAUACUAGCAAUUAAUUGCCCAGAAGGCUGAAUUGUAUUACAGCACUUAGUGGUACAGUAACCUUGGUUGGUAUGGAGCACAGAAAAGGCUCAAGCAUGUCCUAGUUAGAAUAGCUGGGACCAGUUCAUCACUGGAGGGGUGUAACCCAAAACUGUGUAUUCUAUAGCCUUCCAUGCCAUUUCCCAGAAACUGUUGUCAGUAGACUAUUUACACCCUCUGCCCAGAGCAGCCUGACUCCUUAGGCUAUAAACUAGGUGUUAAGAGGCCUUUGAGAUAGGAGGGUGCUUCUGUCCUCAUACCCUUUGUGGAACUCCCCGCCAUGAGGGAAGUACUGAGCAUUCCUGCCUGAACUAGAGAAUAUAUAAUCUUGGAGUCUUGGAACUUUUUUAACCACUCGUGGGAUCCAGAGGAAGACUGCAGACCACCACUCUCAACCAGACUGCAACCACCACUUUUCAACCAGACUGCAACCAUCACUCUCGACCGGACUGCAAUUACCAUUCUUGACCAGACUGCAACAGCACUUUCACCAACAGGUUUUUCCCUUCUCCCUUUACUUUGGGCUCAGGGGGCCCAACAAACACCACUCUGUUCAUGCCCCAGGGUUAUACAUUUGGGUUUUGUGGGUUAAAACCAAUUGUUUGUCUGUAUAAUCGUACUUAUUGUAUUAUUUUAUUAAAUUGUUAUUCUGAUUUAUAA